Molecule: transfer RNA, 73 nt
Filed under: Marmota monax (woodchuck)
Lineage: Eukaryota; Metazoa; Chordata; Mammalia; Rodentia; Sciuridae
Description: tRNA.Thr
Source: RNAcentral
GUGGGGUUGUGGCUCAGCGGUAGAGCACUUGCCUAGUGUGUGUGAGGCCUUGGGUUCAAUCCUCAGCACCACA